GACGAACGCUGGCGGCGUGCUUAACACAUGCAAGUCGAACGGAAAGGCCCUGCUUUUGUGGGGUGCUCGAGUGGCGAACGGGUGAGUAACACGUGAGUAACCUGCCCUUGACUUUGGGAUAACUUCAGGAAGCUGGGGCUAAUACCGGAUAGGAGCUCCUGCUGCAUGGUGGGGGUUGGAAAGUUUCGGCGGUUGGGGAUGGACUCGCGGCUUAUCAGCUUGUUGGUGGGGUAGUGGCUUACCAAGGCUUUGACGGGUAGCCGGCCUGAGAGGGUGACCGGCCACAUUGGGACUGAGAUACGGCCCAGACUCCUACGGGAGGCAGCGGUGGGGAAUAGUGCACAAUGGGCGGAAGCCUGAUGCAGCAACGCCGCGUGCGGGAUGACGGCCUUCGGGUUGUAAACCGCUUUCGCCUGUGACGAAGCGUGAGUGACGGUAAUGGGUAAAGAAGCACCGGCUAACUACGUG
This 468-nucleotide ribosomal RNA is filed under the name uncultured bacterium. Its description in RNAcentral is "partial 16S ribosomal RNA". It matches the Rfam family "Bacterial small subunit ribosomal RNA", at positions 28 to 507 of the family's 1533-position model. The record is from RNAcentral.